This 2148-nucleotide long non-coding RNA is filed under the name Homo sapiens (human). Its description in RNAcentral is "HSALNT0270020". The record is from RNAcentral. Lineage: Eukaryota; Metazoa; Chordata; Mammalia; Primates; Hominidae.
AUGGUCUCAGCCUAGAGCGGCUGCUGUUCAGCUUUGGCCCCUGAAGGGAGAACACAUCUGAGGAUGAAGAAUGGUUGAGGCAUUUGUUCCUCUGGUUUUCUCUCUGCUCCAGUGCAGUAGGCACUGGGGCAGAAGUGGUUCCUCCAUUAUUAGCAGCCCAGGGUUCUUUCAACCUGCCUACAUCUGGAAAAUACCUCCUUAUCAAACUCUUCAUCACCAGUGUCAGUUCAUGGUCAGUUUCUUUCCUGAGCCCUGACCCACACCCAGGGAAAGGCCAACCUUCCGUGGCCAAGAUGAAGCCUCUUCCACUGUCAGCUGGGCACUUCUAGGGGCUGUGAGCGCUGAAGAAUGGAGAGAUUCAGGCCAUGUGUGUGGCUCUACCUCCUGAGAAACAGGCGUUAUCAGGCCUGGGCUUUGCUCACAGCACCUGCCGGCUCCUGGGAAGAAGCCACAUCUGCCUCGAACUGCCCUGACUGCCUUUGUUACGAUACCUACCCGUGGCUUGCUUGUGCCAACUCUGAAAACACAGGGCUGCCUGAGGGAGCUCUCGUGUUAGCAAGCAGCAGCUCGUGGGUAAGGAAAGCCCCUUCAUUUAUUAACAUUAAAGUGAUUGCAAACUCGUAGGUGAGAUACUUAUGCAUUGGGCUCUGUCUGGAUAAUUCACCUGUAUUAACUCAGCCGAUCCUCUUAACUCCAUAAGGAAGGAAUCCUUAUUGUCCCCAUCUUAAAGACCUCCGAAACGAAACCAGAGAUACUGAAUGAUUUGCCUGGGAUGACUCCGCUACCACUUGGCACAGCCACGGUGCAAACCCAGUUGGGCUGGCACUGAACACCCAGACUGUAGAUCCCUCCUGCCUGACUCAAGAGCCUCUGUCUAUAUGGAAGCAAUCAACUUAAGGUCACAAGAGGCCCAUUUCAGAAUGGGUUCUGUCCCACACUCUGGAGGAAGGAAUGCUGUAUGAGGAGGCCUAGAAGAAUCUGAACAGACAGGCUUUACUGGAGUUCCCCACUCGGCCCGUUAGUAUUAGACCAGAUCUUUUUGUCCAGUCACAUUUCUACGUGGUUGCCUAUCAAAGAAGUCUCUAUAAAAAGUCCAAGAGAACAGGGUUUGGGGAGCUUCCAGGAGGCAGGAAGGUGAACAAGAAUUCAUCCACAUGCCAGACAGCUGGUGCAUCCCAAAUCCAUGGAGACAGAAGCUCCUGCACUCAGACCCUUCCAGACCUCACCCUACAUGUUUCUUCAUCUGGCUGUGUAUUUGUAUCCUUUGAAAUAUCCUUUGUAAUAAACUGUUAAACAUAAGUUCUGUGAGUCACUCUAGCAAAUUCACUAAGCCCAAGGAAGGGCUUUUGGGAACUCCAAUUUACAGCCCCUCGGGCAGAAGCCCUGGUAAAACAACCCGGGGCUUGUGAUUGGCACUGAAAUUGGGUGGGAAGCAGUCUCGGGGACUCAGCCCUCAACCUGCGGGACCUGGUGCUAUCUCCACGGAAUUGCAUUAGAGGACACCCAGCUUGGGCCUGCUGCAGAACUGAUUGCUUGCUUUGUGUGUAUGGGAAACCCCUCCCUGCCACAUUUGAUCACAGAGGUCUUCUGUGUUGAUUGUUGUGAGUGACAGAAUAGAAAAAGCACUUUCAUUGAGUUCUUGUGUUCCACUCAGACCUGCCAAGCUGAAAAUAUUUACAGUCUGGUGCUUUAUAAAAACGCGUAAUGAGUUAGAGCACCAGCUUAGAUAUGGGUUGGAGUCCUGGCUCCUUACUGCGCCAAAUGACCUUGAGUGGGUUCCCUCGCCUUUCUGUGCCUCCCUAUCCUCCAAUGUAAAGUAGGAGCAAAUCAGUGCCCUGCCUGCAAAGCACUUAGCAUGGUGCCCAGGCGUGGCAGGCACUCAAUCAAUGACAGUCAAUGCUAUUAUCUUGACCGACACGACCUUAUUUGAUCUUCCAAACUACCCAGUAAAGCAUUAUCCCCAUUAUCUCCAUUUCUCUGAUGAAGGCAGUUGGCUUAGAAUAAAUCAGAACUUGCGCAGGUUAAAAGUGAGUGACUGGCACAGCCAUGGCAAGGGGCCUUGGACUGAUUUUCUUCAUUUUCUUGCUGUCUACACCCACUGGGCAAGCAGCAGCGUGAAAGAAAAUGAAGUCCACCAACCCAAAACCA